RNAcentral lists this ribosomal RNA (497 nucleotides) under uncultured bacterium. RNAcentral describes it as "partial 16S ribosomal RNA". It matches the Rfam family "Bacterial small subunit ribosomal RNA", at positions 28 to 507 of the family's 1533-position model. The record is from RNAcentral.
GAUGAACGCUGGCGGCGUGCCUAAUACAUGCAAGUCGAGCGAACAGACGUGGAUCUUGCUCCUUUUACGUUAUCGUCGGACGGGUGAGUAAUACGUGGAUCACCUGCCUUUAAGCCUGGGAUAACUUCUGGAAACCGGAGCUAAUACCUGAUAACCUGUUGAACCGCAUGGUUCAACCUUGAAAGACGGUCUUUCUGUCACUUAUAGAUGGAUCCGCGCCGCCUUAGCUAGUUGUUAAGGUAACGGCUUACUAAGGCAACGAUGCGUAGCCGACCUGAGAGGGUGAUCGGGCACACUGGAACUGAGACACGGUCCAGACUCAUACGGGAGGCAGCAGUAGGGAAGCGUCAGAAAGGGGCGAAAGCCUGACGGAGAAACGCCGAGGGAGUGAAGAAGGUCUUCGGAUCGUAAAACUAUGUUAUUAGGGAAGAACAAAAGUGUAAGUAACUAUGCACGUCGUGACGGUACCGAAUCAGAAAGCCACGGCUAACUACGUG